CGUCAUUCUGACCCCGUGGCCUCAGGAAGUUGAGCGAGGCGGGAUCAAGGAUGUUUUCCCGGGCUCUGCAGUCACGGCUCCUUGCAGGGUUUGUUCUUUCAGUGUAUCCUGGACCGGAAAACUUCCUUUAGUAUGCCUUUACCGCAGAUGUCUCCCAAGGCUCACGUAAAUCUCAGGAUGACACAGGAAGUUAUACAAGAGCAGAAUGACAUGCCAUACCAGAGCACAACUAUGUAAAAAUAAUUUACAAAAUUUAUUUUAUUGCUGGUAUUUAAAUUUAAAGUUAAAAAAGGAAAGCAUCAAUCUUUAACAUGUUAGUUGUGGAUCCCCCUUUAUUGCUAGGGUGAAUCAAAGAGAAUCGUCUGGAAUUGGUGAAGGACUGAAGGCCACUAGUUUCUCUACCAUAAACUUAAAUUUUGA
Meriones unguiculatus (Mongolian gerbil) is the source of this 420-nucleotide long non-coding RNA. RefSeq lists it as uncharacterized. The record is from RefSeq and is a predicted model, not a curated record. NCBI's taxonomy places the organism in Eukaryota, Metazoa, Chordata, Mammalia, Rodentia, Muridae. The transcript is spliced from 3 exons.